RNAcentral lists this ribosomal RNA (107 nucleotides) under Licmophora paradoxa. RNAcentral's name for it is "partial Eukaryotic large subunit ribosomal RNA". The record is from RNAcentral. Lineage: Eukaryota; Bacillariophyta; Fragilariophyceae; Licmophorales; Licmophoraceae.
UUUCUUGUUUCCAUUCGCGCGCUUCCUUUAUGCCCAUGAGGCCGAUGACUAUCAAAGAUAAACCAACAGCAACCUCUGUUAACGAUGCACCUUUUGACAAAAUGGAA